CGCCCGUUGGGCGUGUGGGUUUCAAUGUGUGUCUGAAUCUGUCUGUGUGUGUUUGAAUCUGUCUGUUUGUGUCUGUGCUCUGGAACCACCCCCGCAGAGGAGCCGGGAUGCUUCCUCGGGUGGAGGGUGCCCUGCUUUCCCAUUUCCUCUCCUCCUCUCUGCUCCCUCCCAGGAGCCACUCCCAUGGGCUCCUCUCCAGUGCUGGGCCUGGAAGCACUAGGAAUUGGGAUGGGACGGACCCCCCGGGAAGACCAGGCUGGAGCAGGUGUCGGGGCUCCUCUGGUCCCACCUCCUCCCUGGACACUUGGGUGCUGGAGGAGGAAACCGGCGGAGCAGCUUCCCCACUCUCAGUUGCGCGUCUGGCGAUGGCGAUGAGAGGUCCUGCUGCGCUGCCCGCCGCGCUCCCCCUCCAUUAGCCGCGCCGCGCCGCGCCGCGCCCUCGCCGGUGCCUCUCUCGGGACCCGGGAUCGGUCCCGCGCUUCCAGGCACGACCCCCUCCCCCGGCCUCUCGGCCUCCCCCCCACUCGGCGGUCUCCGACCCGGGGCGCGCGUUCCCCCCGGCCCGGCUCCCACUCUCCCCCCGGGGGCACCCGCUCCCCAGCCCCGGCCCGGCCCUCCCCGCGGCGCAGCACGGAGUCUCGGCGUCCCAUGGCGCAGCCCACGGCCUCGGCCCAGAAGCUGGUGCGGCCGAUCCGCGCCGUGUGCCGCAUCCUCCAGAUCCCGGAAUCCGACCCCUCCAACCUGCGGCCCUAGAGCGCCCCCGCCGCCCCGGGGGGAGAGCACGCGAGCGCGCUGAGCGGAGAGCGGGAGGACGCGUCCUCGCUCGCCGGCCGGGAGGCCCCGGAGCCGGCCCAUGGGGAGCGGGCGCCCGGCCCCGGCCACCACGCCCGCCGCCGCCCGCGCCGCGCCCGGCCCGCCGAGCCCAGGUAAGCGCCGAAGGGGCCCGGGCGGCCCUGCUGCCGCGCUCGCCGCGCCCUCCCCGGCCGGCCGCACGC
RNAcentral lists this long non-coding RNA (995 nucleotides) under Canis lupus familiaris (dog). RNAcentral's name for it is "lncRNA (ENSCAFG00000056578.1, ENSCAFG00845026298.1)". The record is from RNAcentral. Lineage: Eukaryota; Metazoa; Chordata; Mammalia; Carnivora; Canidae.